CCUGGACUUCCCUGGAGCAGGACACGGGAUUGGGGUGGGGGUGGGAGGAUCUGGGCACACGUGUGCAGCAGCCUCGGCCCACACAGCCUCCGGGUGGACCUGCAGGGGCCUGUUUGUGCUGUAGGCUUGACACGUCCAGACUCCCAUUCCUGCAGGAGGAACCAGGCAGGAGGCAGCUAGCUGGUGAUAGCGCGCGUGACCACAGACCUCUGACCCUCAUAGUCUCAGCAGCUGUCUGCAGGCCCUCCACGGGACCGCAGCCUGGGAGGGCAGGAGGCCCUGCACCUGCGGCCGGUCUGACCUGCUCCUCACCUCCCUGCCUGCCUCCUCCGUGCUGGGCGCCGCCGCGACACGUCCCGCGGACAUUCAGGAGUCCCUUCAGUCCCUGCGAGCGCGGACCCGGGAGAGAGCUCUCAUUCAACGCUGAGGCCACUGGCUCACAGAUCUCCCCGGGUCACCCUGCGAAGUGCUUGGUCCCCCCCAUUCCCAGCCCUGCAGCAGCAACAAACGGGAAGGAAGUGGGUGACGAGGACAGGCAGAGACCCCUCCCACGGGGCCGCCCGCAUCUCACCUGCCGUCGCGGGGCGGGCGUUGCGGCCGGUGCCCAGCUGCAGAUCCGCAGGCGAUCGCACUCCUGGCGGCCCCAGCUUUAAGCAGGCAGCGGCCGAUCCGCCCUGCUCGAGGGCUCAGGGCUGACCCAGAUGGAGUCUCACUCACUCUGUCACCCAAGCUGGAGCGCAGUGGUGUGAUCUUCAGCUCGUCCCAACCUCCGUCUCCCAGGUUCAAGCGAUUCUCCUGACCUCAAGUGAUCCGUCUGCCUUGGCAUCCCAAAGUGCUGGGAUUACAGGCCUGAGGCCAGGCCCUGAAUUAAUUUUUUGAUGUUUCACUUUGCCAGGUGUAUAAGUAACAUGUUAGUUGUGAUUGUAACUAAAUAAAGGCUUAAGGGAAACCGUG
This 954-nucleotide long non-coding RNA is filed under the name Homo sapiens (human). Its description in RNAcentral is "LHRI_LNC323.1". The record is from RNAcentral. Lineage: Eukaryota; Metazoa; Chordata; Mammalia; Primates; Hominidae.